CUUACGAAACUAGCCCCGAUCUUGGGAUUGUGCCACGGAGGGAAAAUAUGUGAGGUAUAUGGAGUCUAGGCUCUGUUAAGGCGCUCAAUCAAGGGUCUUAAUGAUUUAGUAUGGGAUAUUAGGUGAGCCCGGACUGUAGACCAGUUAAUCGAGUGCCGGCGCCGACCGCCCUUGAGCGCUGAUCGUUUGUAUGGGUAGGUAUCGACCUAGGUAAGGGUCAAAAGGGGAAGGCUUGGGGGUUGUAGGAGGGGUUUAGGGGUUUAGUUGCUCCGCUGCGGCUCGAGGCCGUCUUGGCUCAGCGGCGUGAGCCCGAGCUAGUCACUAGGUGCUCGAGCAGGCGGGUGGUGCUGCGGCUGUUUCCAGCUCCUCAUGCCCCUAGAUGGAGGCGGCCCGCAGCAGCGGCGCCAGCGCCACUACCGGCGGCGGCGUCUAGAUAAGCGCUCCAGUGCCAGCGGCGGGUAGUGUGCCCGCGCGUCCACCAAAGUGUACCGCGGGUGCAGGGAGUUCUUCAAGUUGCUGGGUUAAUUCACCGUGGGUGUCGAAUCUAUUUAGGGUCGUUCGUUGAGCACGCCGCCACGUCGAGAAAAUUUAACCCACGUCUUCAGAAGAAGGAGGGAAACGUAGAGGGAGAGUCGGGAAAAUUUACCGCGCGGCGGCUCGUCGCUAACCGUAACGUCGAGGUGCGCCACUAGUACCGCGGCGGCGAGAAGCAAGAGGAGGAGGAGACGGAACGGUGGAACGGCUCUCUGUGGCGACGACGCGACUGGACGGCACUGAAGGGGCUGCCCAAGUAGAAGCCGCGCCCGUGGAGCCGGAAGGUCCACCUUCCCCGACGACGUCUUCCACCAUCCUUCGGGUCGUAGACCCUGUGGAAGUGGGUAGUUCCAAUGAGGAUACUAUUCAGAUGGCGUCUAUAGAGUCGUCUAGUCAUAGUAGUAAUAUUCCUACUACAUUUUGAAUACAUACUCUACCCAAAUCUGCGCAUGUCUAAGAGGUAGCGUACCGGGGCCGAAUAUGGUCUACCUUCUCCUCUCUAGUUAGGCUUCCCGAACCUCAUGAUGUUGUUGAAUUAUCUACUUGACUAUGCCUUGCCGUAUGUUGGAGUACAGUGUUAGAUGGUAAAACUAGAGGGAGUCAGGGAAGUCCUACUUAUGUUGCCUGACGAGUCGGGGUCUAAGUAUCUGCUAAUGUGGCGCAUACGACUUCGGACGAAGUUCUCGAAACCCCUGUCCCAUUUCAUGACCCAGUGGCAGUUGCUCGGGUUGUAUCUUUGGUAUCCUCCGAAUCUGUCACCGCACAACGGUGGUGUCGCGACGAGGGUAGGGAAGCCCUUGAUGUGGUCCCCCCUAAGAUGUUGCCUCGGCAUGUAUCGGCGGGUGGUGGAGGACGAACGUGUACGGAGUCGUCACAGGGACAUAUCUCGGUUCAUAGUCCGUUGAGUUUCUCCUGUCUAUCCUAAAUGAGAGAACCCGACCACCGUACUCGGUCGAUGGCUAAGUAGCCUCCUACGUCGACGACGUAGCUCCUACUUACUGAAGGUGUAACCUACCAAAUACGUAGGAAACCACAUACCCCUGAUGGGAUGACACUACUCCUCGUCCCAUCCGCGUGCCAACGGCCUAAAAUGUCGUCUCGUCAGCCUCUUUAACGGGCCUAGUAAACUGAAGCAGCCGAAGUUGGUGAUGGAACAACAAGACCGCGCUCGGGUACUAUCGCGCAAGUUAUGAAGUUAUACUUCGCCUCCCUGAUGAUACGACUGCGUAUGCGGUAGCGUUUAGGUAAGCUACUAUAGGUUCUCCCGGCGGAACUCAUACGAGGAGCCCGAGAUCCCUCCGAUGACCUGGUGGAUUUUGAGUUGAUGCCCUUGGGUGGUCAGUAAAAGAAAAAAAAAAAUCUUUUCCUCCUACUGGGGGCCGGAAACGUAGACCCGCUACGUAUGCCGGUGAAAUAAUUAAUAAGAGUGUUCUGGAAUGUUUCAGUAUAUUGUCAUUCUGAUUUCGGCGGCAGAUUCGUUGUUUGACAGCGAUGUGGAUAGGUCAACUACUUCCCCGCGUCUAUCGGACCCGGAUUAUGGUUUGUCUGUAGCGUCGGUUCGGAUUGUAGAUUCUGGACUCUGGGGUUGGAUCGGUGAACGACCCAGACCCCGUGUGUGACCAGGCCGCACGAGAGUCUCCGGCGGCGGCGGUUGACGGUGGCGAGGUAGAAGUCUUAACAUGACUACGUAGUUGGAACGAGCCAGGUCGAUAGCAGCUGCGGUGGUGCCGCGGGUUGCCGUGGAGGAGGGACGCGCGUUUGUCGACUUGUGCAGCGCCAGCGGUGACUAUGUGGAGUCGCGGUACGACGGUUCAUGGUGGUCGGCUGUGUCGAACUUCAGGAACCUCCUAGACAGCACGCAUCGUGGACGGCUGGUCCGUACUGGUUCGCAUCGUGGACAGCUAGUCCGUACUGAACUGUAGAGGUGGCUUCGAGGCACGUUCUGCUUCGGCGAGGUGGAGGACGGAGACUGAAGGUCGUGACGAGGUGUUUGCUACGAGUGUUCUCUCUUUGCUGUGGCGUCACGGCGGUAGUAGGCCAGACCUUGUGGUCUAGGAUCCCAAAGGGGGCCUCGUCAUGCUCACCCAGCUGCCAUCAGUGUACUGCUACGGAAGUAGUUCCAUUGCGGCACCUUGCGGCGGUAGCGUGCGGCAGCCGAGCCAAAAGUGGCCGUUGAUGCAGAGGGGCUGAGCGUCGACCACGAUCUACUGCCUAGGGCUCUAGGCUUGUGGGUCGGAGUCCGGCUGGUGGAGACUUCCUUCUCUACUGGUGGUGGCAUCCGACGUGGCCAGUCUUGUCUAGACUUGGCUCCACGGCGACUGCUCUGGUGGUCCGGGAGGUGCGGCAGCAGCGGCUAGACUUCCGUCGUGCGUGCGGUGGCGUCGGUUCGGCCGGCGGCGGCUGGCGUCGGCGGCGGGCUUCCCGGUAGGCGUCGCGGGCGUCGGGACCGGCGGUCCUGCCCGGCCGGAGGGCGGCGGACGACGUCGGUAAGCGGCGCGGCGUCUAGGGUCUAGCCAGCGCGGUGGUGUGCGGAACCCCAGGCGGGGUGGGGUCUCUGCGCGCACUCUCCUCUAGGGGGCGGUGGCGGAAUCGGGCCGCCGCAGGAGGCCGCCGCCGCCUCCCUCUCCUCCCUCAAACGCCGCCGCCGCCGCCGAUCCAAAGACCGAGGCGGGCUCAGCGGGAUCCCCCUCCUGCUGCACCCCCGAUCGUUGCUACGUUGACCUUUAAGUUUUGGGUGGUCAGUACUAGGUACUUUUGCCAUUCGACUUUUUCUUUUUUGGACGAGCGACGUAUACGAUAGGAAGAAAGUCCUCUAUUCGACUGUGGUACUUAUGGUCAAUCCCACCAAACUAGACUUUACGUUUUGUACGACUGGAGACAUUUUAGUUUUUAGUUGCCGUACCUUUUUAGAAAACAAACUACAAAGUCCUAUGCCUCUGCGGAGGCUUGAGGGCGCCUUCCAGCUUAUGCUGCUGCUGUUGUCUAGUCUCAAGGACGUUCUAAUAGACCUUCAAGAGAUAGACAGGUAUUCCUUGCCUAGUUUGCGCGCCCCUAUGAAGCACACCAGAAAGGAGCUGCAAAAGCUCAAGGAGAAGCCGAUGGCCUACGCGAAGCCGGACGCGCCGCAGCUGUACUUGUCGCUCCCCUCCUGUUCUAUGCACUCCUUGAGACGGGCGACCAUGAGGCCGAAAGAGUUUCCGCCGCUCGACGCCGGCCGCAGUAGCAGCCCCUUUCGGAUGCAGCGGCGCACUGAACCCGAAGACGUGUGCAAAAGCAACAGCAACUCCGGUACCGCGGCCACGGCGAAACCAACAAAAUAAUUAAGAGAAGAGAUAGACAUAUAAAGAGGCACUUUGUAACUCAACACAUAAACCUGCGCGGUCGUAGUGGAAUUUUAAUGAAACCCUACGUUACAUGAAGAGCACGCACCGUAGCCAGUUUAACUGCUAGAGGUCUUUUUACACGUCGGAAUAAUAUUUGACUUUUCCCCG
Molecule: ribosomal RNA, 4025 nt
Filed under: Triticum aestivum (bread wheat)
Lineage: Eukaryota; Viridiplantae; Streptophyta; Magnoliopsida; Poales; Poaceae
Description: partial small subunit ribosomal RNA
Source: RNAcentral